This 309-nucleotide long non-coding RNA is filed under the name Medicago truncatula (barrel medic). RNAcentral describes it as "lncRNA gene44142". Lineage: Eukaryota; Viridiplantae; Streptophyta; Magnoliopsida; Fabales; Fabaceae. The record is from RNAcentral.
GUAAGAUUGAGGUCAAUCAUGAUUCUAGCUUGAGUAGGGGAUGAAUAUCCGAUCUCAGUUCCAAAAACGUAAGAACCAAAAACAGCUACAAGGGUGGUAAAUGUGAGAGUAGGAGGUGGUAUAGAAGAAGAAGAAGAAGAAGAAGUAAUCUUUUGUUUGUGUUGUUCGUCGUUGGAAGCAACAUCAUCGGAAGAAUCAUACUGUUGUGAUUGUGAUUCAGCGUUUCCUCUGAAUAGAAGAGGACUUGAAGAAGAAGAAGAAGAAGAUUCGAUGAUUCUUUUACUGUCCAUGAUGAUUAUUGAUUUUUUU